AGGGGCGUAGCUCAGCUGGAUCGAGCAUCGGGUUUCUACCCCGAAGGCUAACGUGGGUUCGAAUCCCACCGCCCCUGCCA
Molecule: transfer RNA, 80 nt
Filed under: Thermotogaceae bacterium
Lineage: Bacteria; Thermotogati; Thermotogota; Thermotogae; Thermotogales; Thermotogaceae
Description: tRNA-Arg
Rfam family: tRNA
About the family: Transfer RNA (tRNA) molecules are approximately 80 nucleotides in length. Their secondary structure includes four short double-helical elements and three loops (D, anti-codon, and T loops).
Source: RNAcentral